Molecule: long non-coding RNA, 375 nt
Filed under: Capsicum annuum
Lineage: Eukaryota; Viridiplantae; Streptophyta; Magnoliopsida; Solanales; Solanaceae
Description: long non-coding RNA (CANN_LNC015554)
Source: RNAcentral
ACAACAACAACAACAACAACAAACCCAGUGUAUUCCCACUUAGUGGGGUCUGGGGGGGGUAAGAUGUACGCAGUCCAUACCUCUACCUCUGAUGAAGUAGAAAGGCUGUUUCCGAAAGACCCCCGGCUCAAGACACAAGAUAUCACACAAACACAUAGUAAAGCACAGAAGCAGAUGACAUAACAUAAAUACGGCACCCAUAAGAAAUAUAAAACAGCGGAAAGCAGAGGAAAGCACACAGAUUCGUAAUAAGCAUGGGACACUGAAUACGGAAUCAUAACGGGAAUAAAAAUAAAAAAAAACCCCACCGAGUAAUUCCCUACACUAGCGACCCAAUCUGGCCCUACUCUUCUGCCGUAAUUCGCGUCUUCCAGA